RNAcentral lists this antisense RNA (194 nucleotides) under Pantoea ananatis LMG 20103. Its description in RNAcentral is "Yersinia sRNA 251". It matches the Rfam family "Yersinia sRNA 251". Rfam says of the family: Antisense to phoH gene. Lineage: Bacteria; Pseudomonadati; Pseudomonadota; Gammaproteobacteria; Enterobacterales; Erwiniaceae. The record is from Rfam by way of RNAcentral.
UGUAAGCAUGCAAAGUGCGCUGACACAGCGCGGAACGCACGCAAUCCUCUUUGCCAAAACGGACAAUGCCCACCAUCUCGUCCUCUUCAAAACGCGCCAGCGCGUCCGCGAGACCAGAAGGCACCCCAGCGGGCAAAUCGCACUGGGUUAUAUCGCCGUUAACAAUCACCGUGACGUUUUCGCCAAGGCGGGUC